CAGUCGCCACGGUAAUACGUAGGUGGCAAGCGUUGUCCGGAAUUAUUGGGCGUAAAGGGCUCGCAGGCGGUUUCUUAAGUCUGAUGUGAAAGCCCCCGGCUCAACCGGGGAGGGUCAUUGGAAACUGGGAAACUUGAGUGCAGAAGAGGAGAGUGGAAUUCCACGUGUGGCGGUGAAAUGCGUAGAGAUGUGGAGGAACACCAGUGGCGAAGGCGACUCUCUGGUCUGUAACUGACGCUGAGGAGCGAAAGCGUGGGGAGCGAACAGGAUUAGAUACCCCUGUAGUCCCUGUCUCUUAUAC
RNAcentral lists this ribosomal RNA (301 nucleotides) under uncultured bacterium. RNAcentral describes it as "partial 16S ribosomal RNA". It matches the Rfam family "Bacterial small subunit ribosomal RNA", at positions 509 to 807 of the family's 1533-position model. The record is from RNAcentral.